Molecule: transfer RNA, 82 nt
Filed under: Fluviicoccus keumensis
Lineage: Bacteria; Pseudomonadati; Pseudomonadota; Gammaproteobacteria; Moraxellales; Moraxellaceae
Rfam family: tRNA
About the family: Transfer RNA (tRNA) molecules are approximately 80 nucleotides in length. Their secondary structure includes four short double-helical elements and three loops (D, anti-codon, and T loops). Further hydrogen bonds mediate the characteristic L-shaped molecular structure. tRNAs have two regions of fundamental functional importance: the anti-codon, which is responsible for specific mRNA codon recognition, and the 3' end, to which the tRNAs corresponding amino acid is attached (by aminoacyl-tRNA synthetases). tRNAs cope with the degeneracy of the genetic code in two manners: having more than one tRNA (with a specific anti-codon) for a particular amino acid; and 'wobble' base-pairing, i.e. permitting non-standard base-pairing at the 3rd anti-codon position.
Source: Rfam by way of RNAcentral
GCGGGGGUGGUGGAAUUGGUAGACACGCUACCUUGAGGUGGUAGUGGCGCAAGCCGUGGGGGUUCAAGUCCCCCCUUCCGCA